RNAcentral lists this ribosomal RNA (253 nucleotides) under uncultured bacterium. Its description in RNAcentral is "partial 16S ribosomal RNA". It matches the Rfam family "Bacterial small subunit ribosomal RNA", at positions 524 to 776 of the family's 1533-position model. The record is from RNAcentral.
UACGUAGGGUGCAAGCGUUAAUCGGAAUUACUGGGCGUAAAGCGUGCGCAGGCGGUUAUGUAAGACAGGUGUGAAAUCCCCGGGCUUAACCUGGGAACUGCAUUUGUGACUGCAUAGCUAGAGUACGGUAGAGGGGGAUGGAAUUCCGCGUGUAGCAGUGAAAUGCGUAGAUAUGCGGAGGAACACCGAUGGCGAAGGCAGCCCCCUGGGCUAACACUGACGCUCAUGCACGAAGGCGUGGGGAGCAAACAGG